This 76-nucleotide transfer RNA is filed under the name bacterium (Candidatus Gribaldobacteria) CG_4_10_14_0_2_um_filter_33_15. Its description in RNAcentral is "tRNA-Ile". It matches the Rfam family "tRNA". From Rfam's summary of the family: Transfer RNA (tRNA) molecules are approximately 80 nucleotides in length. Their secondary structure includes four short double-helical elements and three loops (D, anti-codon, and T loops). Lineage: Bacteria; Candidatus Gribaldobacteria. The record is from RNAcentral. RNAcentral also lists the same sequence under 3 other names.
GCGCGUGUAGCUCAGUGGUAGUAGCACCACUCUUAUAAAGUGGGGGUCGAUGGUUCGAAUCCAUCCACGCGCACCA